RNAcentral lists this ribosomal RNA (368 nucleotides) under uncultured organism. RNAcentral describes it as "bacterial SSU rRNA". It matches the Rfam family "Bacterial small subunit ribosomal RNA", at positions 526 to 896 of the family's 1533-position model. The record is from RNAcentral.
CGUAGGUGGCAAGCGUUGUCCGGAUUUAUUGGGUUUAAAGGGUGCGUAGGCGGCUUUGUAAGUCAGUGGUGAAAUAUGGCAGCUCAACUGUCAAGGUGCCAUUGAUACUGCAGAGCUUGAGUACAGAUGAGGUAGGCGGAAUUGACGGUGUAGCGGUGAAAUGCUUAGAUAUCGUCAAGAACACCUAUAGCGAAGGCAGCUUACUAGGCUGUAACUGACGCUGAGGCACGAAAGUGUGGGGAUCAAACAGGAUUAGAUACCCUGGUAGUCCACACUGUAAACGUUGAUUACUCGCUGUGUGCGAUAUACAGUACGCGGCCAAGCGAAAGCGCUAAGUAAUCCACCUGGGGAGUACGCCGGCAACGGUG